AGUCCCAGCUACUCGGGAGGCUGAGGCAGGAGAAUGGCGGGAACCCAGGAGGCGGAGCUUGCAGUGAGCCGAAAUCGCGCCACUCACUCCAGCCUGGGCGGCAGAGGGGAGACUCCGCCUCAAAAAAAAAAAAAAAAAAAAAAAAAAAAAAAAAAGCAAAAAACGCAGCAUCAAGGCGGGGCGGACUGAAAGGAGAGCAGUGCAGGAAGAAGCACCCGGGGCGCUGCCUGGGGCUCGGAAGCCUCCAAGGGGCCACGCCCAGCCUGGAAUAACCGACUGUGGAGACAAUGGAUGAAUGACAGAAAUGAAACAACUCAGGGAAAACCCAGCGGUGCGGGAGGCUGCGGUGGGACCCUGGCGAGCCGGACCCGGCUGCUGCUGCUCUGUAAGAAAAUAAAUCCAUGUCCACAAUAUCAGAAGAGAUGGGUGCUCUUGCGGGAGGUAGGAGGAUCCAAUUCCAACCACGUGCAGCUGCGUCGAGGAGGUGAUUUCAGUGGGCAGGACAAUGCACUUGCCUUCUCUUCCUGGAGAUUGACACUCGUGAUUGUUUUCACCGUGCACUCCAAGUGCUGUCUCCUCCAGGAGAGACCACGAACAGCGAAGACUCUUAAUCGCCUACUACAUGACCUUCUUCUCAUGGAAGAAUCAACCAACCCUUCCUCUACAGUGAAUGAGGGACCUGUGCUCUUCACCCACUCACUGUGCUAUUUCUCUUUGAAAUCAGUCAAUCUUGUGGUUCUUUCCCUCUAUUUUAUAAUUUUUUGACUAACUUUUCAAGGACUAUAAACAGCUUUUUUUUUUUUUUUUUUAGACUGAGUCUCGCUCUGUCUCCCAGGCUGGUGUGCAGUGGCCGGAUCUCAGCUCACUGCAAGCUCCGCCUCCCGGGUUCCCGCCAUUCUCCUGCCUCAGCCUCCCGAGUAGCUGGGACUACAGGUGCCGCCACCACGCCCGGCUAAGUUUUUGUAUUUUUAGUAGAGACGGGGUUUCACCGUGUUAGCCAGGAUGGUCUCUAUCUCCUGAUCUCGUGAUCCGCCUGUCUCGGCCUCCCAAAGUGCUGGAAUUAUAGGCGUGAGCCACCACGCCCAGUACUAUAAACAGUUUUAAUGCCUCUACCAUCUUGGGUAAAGCUUACCUAGCGUGAGCCCUACACGCUUAUGUACUUACAUUUACCUUCCCCACUUCAUGGAGUCCACAUCCACCACCGGACUUACCUGAAACCACACUGAUCACUCUUCAGUUCUUACAGCUCCCCUGAAAUGCUCUGGGGAGAAGAAAAUAAUGUCUUUCUCACCUCAAAACUCACACACUCUUUUUUUUAACAUCUUCCUGUCGCCAUUGACCUCAGAUUCCCUGGUACUUGGUCCACCACAUGGCUCCGUGAGUCCCUGAUUCUCACGACCAUGCGGUACACAGGGCGAGUGGCCUCUCCUGAAUGAACGCCUUAGAUGCCAACCCCUGUCAAGUUCAGCACGGCAAAGACACAGUGGGGACAGGGGCAUUGAGGUGGAGCUGAGGCUUCCCUGAUGGGAUAUUUUAAACCUGUUCAUUGCAAGACCUCUUCUGUCUAUGCUGUCACAAAAGGAAUAAAUAAGAUGUGUUUAUAAGUUUCA
This 1610-nucleotide long non-coding RNA is filed under the name Piliocolobus tephrosceles (Ugandan red Colobus). RNAcentral describes it as "lncRNA (ENSPTEG00000021300.1)". The record is from RNAcentral. Lineage: Eukaryota; Metazoa; Chordata; Mammalia; Primates; Cercopithecidae.